This 253-nucleotide ribosomal RNA is filed under the name uncultured bacterium. RNAcentral's name for it is "partial 16S ribosomal RNA". It matches the Rfam family "Bacterial small subunit ribosomal RNA", at positions 524 to 776 of the family's 1533-position model. The record is from RNAcentral.
UACGGAGGGUGCGAGCGUUGUCCGGAAUCACUGGGCGUAAAGGGCGCGUAGGUGGCGCGGGCAGUCAACGGUGAAAGUUCGGGGCUCAACCCCGAAUCGGCCGUCGAUACUCCCGGGCUCGAGCACUGUAGAGGCUAAUGGAAUUCCGGGUGGAGCGGUGAAAUGCGUAGAGAUCCGGAGGAACACCAACGGCGUAGGCAGCGCCCUAGACGAGACCUGACGCUCAGGCACGAAAGCGCGGGGAGCGAACAGG